RNAcentral lists this long non-coding RNA (199 nucleotides) under Elaeis guineensis (African oil palm). RNAcentral describes it as "long non-coding RNA (EGUI_LNC054718)". The record is from RNAcentral. Lineage: Eukaryota; Viridiplantae; Streptophyta; Magnoliopsida; Arecales; Arecaceae.
UAUUCCCAAUGGGACUCUCCUCCAAAGUCCCAGUCCCAGUAGGACUUCUCACCAGAGUCACAAUCUAAUUGGAUCCUUCAGCCAUCAGAUCUGAUCAAAUCUUUUAGUGUGUGUGACCCUAUAAGUUUGAACUUAAGUCAAUAGCAUUGGAACAACUUUCUAUACCAAUCGAUGUAACCAUCUAGCAAUGGUGACCCGA